GAUGAACGCUAGCGGCAGGCCUAAUACAUGCAAGUCGAACGGGAUCCAGAUCAAAGCUUGCUUUGGUCUGGUGAGAGUGGCGCACGGGUGCGUAACGCGUGAGCAACCUACCCUUGUCAGGGGGAUAGCCCGGCGAAAGUCGGAUUAAUACCGCAUGACAUCAUUGAGAGGCAUCUUUCGAUGAUCAAAGAUUUAUCGGACAAGGAUGGGCUCGCGUGACAUUAGCUAGUUGGUAAGGUAACGGCUUACCAAGGCUGCGAUGUCUAGGGGCUCUGAGAGGAGAAUCCCCCACACUGGUACUGGGACACGGACCAGACUCCUACGGGAGGCAGCAGUAAGGAAUAUUGGUCAAUGGACGGAAGUCUGAACCAGCCAUGCCGCGUGCAGGAGGACGGCCCUAUGGGUUGUAAACUGCUUUUAUACGGGAACAAACGUCGGUACGUGUACCGGUCUGAGUGUACCGUAAGAAUAAGAAUCGGCUAACUCCGUG
Molecule: ribosomal RNA, 490 nt
Filed under: uncultured bacterium
Lineage: Bacteria
Description: partial 16S ribosomal RNA
Rfam family: Bacterial small subunit ribosomal RNA
Source: RNAcentral